GACGAACGCUCGCGGCGUGCCUAAUACAUGCAAGUAGAACGCACAGUUUAUACCGUAGCUUGCUACACCAUAGACUGUGAGUUGCGAACGGGUGAGUAACGCGUAGGUAACCUGCCUGGUAGCGGGGGAUAACUAUUGGAAACGAUAGCUAAUACCGCAUAAUAUUAAUUAUUGCAUGAUAAUUAAUUGAAAGGUGCAAUUGCACCACUACCAGAUGGACCUGCGUUGUAUUAGCUAGUAGGUGAGGUAACGGCUCACCUAGGCGACGAUACAUAGCCGACCUGAGAGGGUGAUCGGCCACACUGGGACUGAGACACGGCCCAGACUCCUACGGGAGGCAGCAGUAGGGAAUCUUCGGCAAUGGACGAAAGUCUGACCGAGCAACGCCGCGUGAGUGAAGAAGGUUUUCGGAUCGUAAAGCUCUGUUGUAAGAGAAGAACGGGUGUGAGAGUGGAAAGUUCACACUGUGACGGUAUCUUACCAGAAAGGGACGGCUAACUACGUG
RNAcentral lists this ribosomal RNA (505 nucleotides) under uncultured bacterium. Its description in RNAcentral is "partial 16S ribosomal RNA". It matches the Rfam family "Bacterial small subunit ribosomal RNA", at positions 28 to 507 of the family's 1533-position model. The record is from RNAcentral.